CAGCAGCCGCGGUAAUACGAGGGGGGCAAGCGUUGUUCGGAAUUACUGGGCGUAAAGAGUGUGUAGGCGGUUUGAUAAGUCAUCUGUGAAAUCUUCGGGCUCAACCCGAAGCCUGCACGAGAAACUACCGGGCUUGAGUAUUGGAGAGGUGAGUGGAAUUUCCGGUGUAGCGGUGAAAUGCGUAGAGAUGUGGAGGAAUACCGAUGGCGAAGGCAGCCCCCUGGGCCAAUACUGACGCUCAUGCGCGAAAGCGUGGGGAGCAAACAGGAUUAGAUACCCGGGUAGUCCCUGUCUCUUAUAC
This 301-nucleotide ribosomal RNA is filed under the name uncultured bacterium. RNAcentral describes it as "partial 16S ribosomal RNA". It matches the Rfam family "Bacterial small subunit ribosomal RNA", at positions 509 to 807 of the family's 1533-position model. The record is from RNAcentral.